UACUUCUCCGUGCCACAGUA
Molecule: microRNA, 20 nt
Filed under: Selaginella moellendorffii
Lineage: Eukaryota; Viridiplantae; Streptophyta; Lycopodiopsida; Selaginellales; Selaginellaceae
Description: smo-miR1094a
Source: miRBase by way of RNAcentral